This 395-nucleotide ribosomal RNA is filed under the name uncultured bacterium. RNAcentral's name for it is "bacterial SSU rRNA". It matches the Rfam family "Bacterial small subunit ribosomal RNA", at positions 505 to 898 of the family's 1533-position model. The record is from RNAcentral.
GUGUCAGCAGCCGCGGUAAUACGUAGGUGGCAAGCGUUGUCCGGAAUUAUUGGGCGUAAAGCGCGCGCAGGCGGUUCCUUAAGUCUGAUGUGAAAGCCCCCGGCUCAACCGGGGAGGGUCAUUGGAAACUGGGGAACUUGAGUACUGAAGAGGAAAGCGGAAUUCCACGUGUAGCGGUGAAAUGCGUAGAGAUGUGGAGGAACACCAGUGGCGAAGGCGGCUUUCUGGUCAGUAACUGACGCUGAGGCGCGAAAGCGUGGGGAGCAAACAGGAUUAGAUACCCUGGUAGUCCACGCCGUAAACGAUGAGUGCUAAGUGUUAGAGGGUUUCCGCCCUUUAGUGCUGCAGCAAACGCAUUAAGCACUCCGCCUGGGGAGUACGGUCGCAAGACUGAA